This 314-nucleotide unclassified non-coding RNA is filed under the name plant metagenome. Its description in RNAcentral is "partial contains 5.8S ribosomal RNA, internal transcribed spacer 2, and large subunit ribosomal RNA". The stretch from base 1 to 105 matches the Rfam family "5.8S ribosomal RNA", at positions 50 to 154 of the family's 154-position model. The record is from RNAcentral.
GAAAUGCGAUAAUUAAUGUGAAUUGCAGAAUUCAGUGAAUCAUCGAGUCUUUGAACGCACAUUGCGCCCCCUGGUAUUCCGCGGGGCAUGCCUGUCCGAGCGUCAUUGCUGCCCUCAAGCACGGCUUGUGUGUUGGGCUUCCGUCCCUGGCAACGGGGACGGGCCCAAAAGGCAGUGGCGGCACCAUGUCUGGUCCUCGAGCGUAUGGGGCUUUGUCACCCGCUCCCGUAGGUCCAGCUGGCAGCUAGCCUCGCAACCAAUCUUUUUAACCAGGUUGACCUCGGAUCAGGUAGGGAUACCCGCUGAACUUAAGC